RNAcentral lists this long non-coding RNA (20598 nucleotides) under Solanum tuberosum (potato). RNAcentral describes it as "long non-coding RNA (STUB_LNC002447)". The record is from RNAcentral. Lineage: Eukaryota; Viridiplantae; Streptophyta; Magnoliopsida; Solanales; Solanaceae.
AAAAAUUACAUGUAGGAUGUUUCUAAAGCAAAACGGAUAAAAUUACAAUUCUACUAUAUGGAAGAUCUUAAGUUUACUAAUGCGUUAUACUUUUGAAGGGGAUCCACACCCUUGCCGUUCUCACCCCUAACGGAACUUCAACCUGAAGUAUAACAGAAGGUAAUUUUAAAGUAAAGUGAAAAGUAGAGGGGUAAAUUGAAACCUUAUCAUCCUGUUCACUUUGGAGCUCUGUUGAAGGCAAAGACAGAUACAAAGACGACUCGCUUAACGACAAAGGUAUGAAUGACCCCAACGUAUAACUUAAAAUUAAGACAUUUCAUAUAGUAGAGGGAAAAUUUGGACAUUUUUCAAUUUCUAAAACCGCCGAGAGCUGGGAUUACCAGGUCGUAAGGAAUGGUGCUGAGCCAAUCUUUUAACUGUCAUUGCCAUGUACUUGCCCUGGUGCUCGGCCAGCGCCAACUCUGGUUCACUAGGUUCCCUGCUACCAUCUCCAGAGAAAGUUCCUGCUCCAUAUGGAGAACCUCCAAUUAUUGAAUCCAUUCUAAACAUUCCUGCUCCAAACGUGUAUCCUAUUGGAACAUAGAGCAUCCCAUGGUGAGCUAAUUGAGUGACUGCUGUCCAGCUGCGAUAUGAAAAAUGAAACAUUUCAAUAUGGUCCACUGGAUUUCAUUAGCAGAUUGUCGUCGACCAAGCUUUGUCCUUCAAUAAUUGGUUGCAUGAUUAUUAUUGGAAGAAGGAUAUAAGUGGAUCAUCAGAAAGAAGAAAAUAGAACAGAAGAUAAAGGAUAUAGAGAUAGCAUAAGAGUACAACUAUAGUCCUUCAUAGACUAUGUUAGUCUGUGGAUAAAAUGUCCUGUUUAAGGAUUCUGCGACAACACAUACAAGCAAGCUAUUUUCAUAAAAUAACUAAUCACAAUCCAAUUCAUCCAAGAUUUGAAGUUCAUCCAUUAGCAUGAAUGCAUGAUGACUUCCCAAGGUUGCAAAACCAGUAAGAUCAAUAACAAAAGAGACCUAUUAGCCCGAGGAAGUUACUACAAUAAUAACAAUUUUUUUGAAUUAGUAUACCUCUAAAAUGACUUCUGAGCAAAUAUGGUUGGAAUGACAGUAGAUGAUGCACCUAUGGAGUAGUGGCUACAGCUACAGAUCUCUAUCACUAUAAUGGAUAGUUAUCAUAGCAGUCAACCAGUUUGCUAACUGAAAUUUUAUACUGACAAUUGUAAAGUGUUCUUGAUGCCUUAUAUACCUAUUACAAUAAAAUCUGACUGCAAGAUACUUCAAGUCCCUUAGGCCUGUUGGAAAAUCAAAUUUCUUAAAGUACUUAAUUGUUGGAGAUCAAUCAGAAACAGCACUUUUGGGUCUCUAGAGCCUUCGUCCUCAAUGAUUUUUUGCAUAUCAUUGAGAUGACGGGAUUCCUUUAACAUAAUCAGUACCAGUUAAACUGAUCACUAGUUGAAGGCAAUCCUUUGGAUGCUAUGGAGACUACAUACAAUUUUUGUAAGGCUGACGAAAGGAUUUUUCAGACUAGUUACUAGUAUGCACUCUCAUCAAUUAUGUUCUGGACUUAGAUUCUGCUAGUGUUCUCCGUUUCUUCUGUCUCUUCAUUGGCAACUACAACUAGGUGAAGCAAUUAUCUGAAGGGUAUCUAUCAAUUUGCUUACGUAGAACUUUGUCAUAUUUCUACUCUUUUUUGGUUUACAAAUAUGUCACUACACCUUAGUCAUUGUCCAAAUGCAUUAAGAUGUUGCAAUUAUCUCACACACAGUGAUCAGACAUCAUCGAUGACAUAAAAGAAACGAUUAACAGUAUAAACACAAGUAAAUGAAUAACAGAAGACAGACUUACGCGGUGGUCUCCUGCCCACCUCCUUGUGUACCAGUACUGACAAAGAACCCUGCAGGCAAUCCAGCAAGCUUUUGUUCUCUCCACAACUUCCCCGUCGAGUCAAAAAAUGCCUUCAUCUGAGCUGCCAUACAUCCAUAUCUUGUAGGAAAUCCAAACAAGAAUCCAUCAGCUUCCACCAGCUCAUCCACAGAUAUCACUGGAAUCUCAUCAUUUUUUGGGGGGGCUUUCAUUCGUUCCAAAACAUCUGGUGCCAAAAUUUCAGGAACCAUAUACAAAACCCCUUCAACACCUUCAAUACCAUCAACCCCUUUUUUCAGCCUUCUAGCUAAUGUUUCAACAUGUCCAUACAUUGAAUAAAACACAAUGAAUAUUCUCAACUUCUUGGACCCUUCUGCUUCUGACCCUGUUAUAUCAGUUUGACUCACUGGUCUCUCUGCUGGUUCAUUUAUAGGAAACUUGUUCUUGGUUGGCAUACAACCCCCUCCUUUACCCAUUGAGCUGAAUUUAAUCAAGAAAUCCAAAAUUAUCACAACCCUUUAUCUCAAAGUUUUCAACUUUUUCUCCAAGUUGGACUUUUUCCAAAUAGGUUGUGAGCAAUUCUUGAACUGAGAAUUUAAUAGGGAGCUUUAGCUAUUUUAGAUUAUCACAAGCAGAGUUGACCAGAAGUCCUCAACUGUUUUUGGAACUUUCUACUAGAAGCUUCGCUGGCAAGUUCUAAUUUACUGCCAACCUCAAAGUGAAUUCGACGAUUCAAAUGAUUUUGACAGUAUUAUACUGAAGAAACAAAUGUGUCAUAGAUCUGACUGAAGAAAAGAAAUUUCAAUAAGCAAUUUUCUGGAUCUUGAAAUUAUUGCCGUCAGGAAAAGUGGCAGAACACCAUCCAACUUCCCUUGUUUUGUGUUAUUCCGAUUAAGCCCCUUCCUUCUUCUAUACACACUACUUCUUGUCAAAACAGGCCGGCCCAACUCCAAUUUUUCAGAGGUAAGAAAUUUAAUGGACUGGGCUCGUCUUUUUUUUGAAUAAUUUCUCUAUGUUAAUAUAUUUUCAAGUUUUUAAUACUUUUGACAAAUUUAUAUCAAAGUAUAUAGAAUUUAUUAGUUUUAAUAUUUUUAAUCAAAAUUUAAAUAUGCAUAACUAAAAUUCACAAUUUAGAAUUUAUUAAUUUUUGAUGGACUAAAAAUGCUAUUAACCCUUAAAAUAAGUAUGAGAUCAUCAAAAGCUUACGAGAAUGAAGACUUAAAAAGCAAAGCAAAUUAUAAGCUGUUGAAGUACAAUUGCUCCUUCUUAUCUAACUAAGGGUCCGUUUGAUCAUGUGAUAUGUAUGAUCAUGUGGCAAAGUGAACGUGUAUUUAAGUUCAGUUAGUCAAGUAAAUGAGAGUUAUUAAAAUUGACAAUAGUUUGGGGACGAACUAAUAAUUCACCUAACGAUAAAAAUGUACUAAUUUUGAAAAAAUAUAAAUAAAAUGAAAAAAUAAUUUAGUAAAUAAUAAAUUAAUAAAAAUAUACUAACCUAACCUUUAUGUAUACCAAGAAAUAAGAAAAAAAAUACAUAACUUUGUAGAUUACAAAAGAAUUUAAACUAAGUAUAAUAUAAGGUAGUACUAUUUAAAAGCUAUAAAUAUGUAACCUAAAUUAUUAUUAACAAUCAAAUAACAAACUAAAAGGAAAACUGAACAAACAAUUUAAGAUCGCUUACACUGAGAUUUGAUCUUGGUAUGAGAACAGGUAAAUGAACCCAGUAACCACUGAGCCACGCUUCUUGAUUGUAUUUAGUGGAUUCAUUUUAGAUAUACAACUUUACAAUGAAUUUGUACAUAUAAAUAGCAAAAAAUAAAAAAUGACGAAGUGGGUUCAAUUGAACUCUCUUGAACCAAUGUAGGUCUGCCUUGCAUAUAGUGGCAUCUUACCCCGUCUACUCUUCUGAUUUAUUCUUUUUGUCCUAAUUUAUGACCGUGUUUAACUAGAAAAAACAUUUAAAAAUUUUUUUCUUUUAAUAUAUAGUCUAAAUAAGUUAUAAAUAUUUGUAUGCAGGGGCAGACCCGCAUACAAAUAUAACAUUGUAUAUAAAGAUCAAAUUUUGAUUUAAUAAAUAUAUAUACAAGUAUUGACAUCUCUUGACACAAGUUAAAAAUCUAGUCUAAUGGUUAAGGUGUUGUGAAAAUUCCUUGAGGUUGAUCAUCUUAUUGAUGGGUAUAACGAAAAUUUUAAAAUUAAACUAGUAAUUUUCAAUUAAGCUAAAUUAUUUGAUAACCUUUGCACAAUUAACCCAAAAAUAUCACAAGUAAUAAAAUGAAAGAAACGGGAGCAGCUUGCCAAGACCAAAAAUUCCUUGGGAAUUGUAUGCAUAAAAUUAUCAGUGGAUGUAAUUUCAAAUACAAGUUCCCAAUAAUCCAUUGUUGCUAAACAAAAUAAAUCUACCUUUUUCCGUUCCAAGAAACACUACAUCCUCUAUUUUAUAACUUUAAAAGUUAGAGCAUCAAAUACAAAAUCUGCACUUGAUUCUUCAUAAUUCCAGCAGUCUUUGCAGCUACUACUUGUGGUACAGAUAUACCAAGGAGAAGAGGAAGAAACCACCCAUCUAUCAUACAAACAAAACAGAAUCAUACAAAAUAUUCUUGUAGAUGAACAACAACCAAACAAUAUCUUAAAUAGCACUUGCUUUUUAAUAUCCCGUGACAGAAAAGAGGUACGAAAUAAUCCAACAGAUCAGAUCAUAAAAUAAGAAGACAAAACGUUGUCAUCAUAUUGCGUGUAUGUUUCAUUUGACUCCCCCCUCUUAACUCUAAACAUUUUAAGAGGAGGAUCCAACAAAUACUUAACAGACAGUACAUAUUUAAGAAUCUUUAGAUUUUUCUAGGUUUCCAAAUAAAAUCUUGUAAAAUUAAUUUUGUAAUCUAAGACUCCUCAAGAGAUACUUUCACAAUAGGACACCAACUGCAACAAAUUUUCUGUAUCCUCAGUUUCCUGAUAUAACUAAGCAGCAUUUACUACCAUAUCUGUACUUUUUAGGUGUUAAAAGUUUGAUAAAUACCCUCAUUAAAUCAGAUAACAAGACUCCUUAUACUCUAAGUCUCGACAACUUGGGGAGGAAUUGUCUACACAGAAAGAAGGGGUUGGAACUACAUAUAGUACAUUAAAAAUAUGCUGAUGGUAAAUCAAUUGUAAUGUGUAACAAAGAGAUAGAUAGAGAGAGAGAGAAAGAAAGAGUGGGGGAGAGAAGUACCAUAGAGAAGGAUGCUCCAUAAUAAGGAAAAGCAGCUGUUAUAAAUCUCUCAUAUUCAUUAUGUCUGAAGGGUCGAACAGGAAUCUGCAAGUAAAAAGAUUCCCCAUAUUAAUGCAAAUAACUAUAUAAGGUGUCGUCAACCACCUCCUUUAUUAUAUUAUUCAUUAUUGAAUUUCGGAAGAUGACAUAGUUAAGACCAAUUAUAUGCAAAAGUCGUUUUCUUGCACUUCAAAGCUAAAGCAAUAUUAGACUGUCACCAUUAUUUAAAAAAAACAAACUAAAGCAAUAAGGAGAGCACAGGCGUCAAUGGCUUUCAUAAAUAUAUCUCUUAAACGAGUAUCUUUUAUGAACAGCAGGUCACUGAGGAACAACGACUAUAUUCACUGCUUUCAUCCAACAAUGUCUGGGAACUAGAGCAACAAAACAAAUGAUGAAACAAGACAAAGUGCAGAUAUACAACAAAUUUCGUGAUAACUGAAAAAAGAAUGUUUUCAUAAUAAGGUGUGCUGCUUCUACAUAUACAUUUGAGUAAUGACAACAGACUAGCGUGUAUUCUAAAGAGUAUUAGAAGUUAAUUAUCAUGUUGUAAUUUUUAUUUUUUUUAUGACAAGGGAAACCCGCAGCCGCUACCCUUUGGGUACGCACAGGGUAAAACCCCCGCUCCUAUGCACUAGCUCGCAAGCCCGGUGCGACGAGCUCGACCCAGAAGGCAAACCCCUUGCUUUCGCUGGCAAGGGGUUUCGAACUUGAGACCUCAAACAUGGAAGUCCCAAGCCCAAACCACUGGGGUACCCCGAAGGGUUAUCAUGUUGUAAUUCUCUCACCAAAUAAGUGGGAAAGCAAAAGUCCUAGAUAAAUUUGUGUCCAGAAAGUGACUGAUACAGCAUAUAUAUUAGCUCUUCACUACAAAAUCUGUAAAACAUGGAAAUAACCACUGCACCUACCUCUUCUAACAAUUAACCAGCUUAAAGUAUGAUAACAAAUUUUUUAAAGUAAUAGAUGCCUCCAUAAGAGAUGGUGCCUGUAGAUUUCGAAAGAACAUACCUGUUUUGCAAGGCUCAAGCUUGUGACUCCUAAUUUCUCGUACUCAACCUUAAACUGGAAUACUCCAUAAACAUCUGGAACCUUGAAUGAUGUAUAAUAGACACCCUACAGAAAAUGAAAUUAGAAAUAUUAAUCCAAGUGCUAAAACAAUUCCUACCAUAAGUUAAUUCUGGAGCACUUAAAGAGUACCUUCUGAUCGGUUGACAUGGUUUUCAGAACGUACGGGCUCAUCAUGUAAAACUGAACUUGAACAUCAUCUGCAACAUAAGGUUCCCAACUUGUUCCAGACCAUUCAUAAAUCUCAAGAGAAUAUUCCUUGGAUCAAAAUCUCAGUUUCAGUACACAUCCAAAACCAUUAAGUAAACAUAAUAUAAGAUUGAUAGAUUAUUCAAACUUGCAGUGUAGUAGUACCAGAUCAUCAUUGAUUCUGUAUAUAGAAGGUUCAUCUGCCUCCCCAACUUUGUGAUGUCUUACAUUCACAGCCUAUAUAUGAAAGUGUAUAGACAUAAAUUCCCAAUUCACAUAUUGAGAACAGCAAAUAUGGAUAGUGAAAUGCAACCAAUUGAAGUGCAUUUCUUUUAUGACUACAAGAAUGCCCAAAGUAAAAUAUUAAAAUAAAGAAGCAAGUGGAUAUGAAUUAAGAACUUAUAUCUGAUACUGCACCUUGAGAUGGCCUCUUUCAUGGAAGAUCCACUUGCUAAUUUCAGUCACAAACUGCUCAUUACCAGAUUUCUCAUGGCUGUGAUCAUGGGAUAAAUUUAUGGUCAAUCAAGUCAGAAAGCAUAAACAAUACAAAAUUGAGUUGUACUUUACGUGGAAGAGGACAGGAAGAGGCACAAUUAGCUUCAAGAUAUUGCUUCUCUAGCAGCAUUAAGUGAAAACAAAGAAAUUGAGAAAAGAAAUCAAAUCACAUCAAAUUACACAUACUGUUCAAACUAAAAUUGUGUGGAUCCGCAUAAUUGAAAACCUUACAAUACAUUGAAGAGUAUACCAAGUAGAAAACCUUACAAUACAUUCUAGUAAUUACAGCAACGAAAGAACUCCCAACAUCCAACAAAUAUUUUUGGUUAGUGGACUUCUUUCUGGUAGUCAAAACUCAAAACAGGAAAUACAGGUCCAUAUCAGGAUGCCAAUAGUUGAGAAACCUUUUCCCAGGUAAUGGAUACAUUACUGACAUAUCAAUGAUGUUCUUAGCAAGCUUCAGUCUUAGAGAAGUCCAACCAAUACCGAGGCUUUUAAUUUUUGUUUUCUUUUUCAUUUUCUAAGUCAAUUUAUGCUGAGGCUUCCACACACAUCAGACUCAAGGUACUAUCAUGUCAGACAAACAGAAGCAACAGAGUAACUACGAGUGCUUACUUGAUUGUGCUUCCAGCCUUUUGCACCCCAGAUCUGAAGAAUCUGGACAUGAGAAAAAGGCUUCUCAAUUUGAGCAAUUCAGAUUAGAUAUUACUCCAGCUAAAGCCUCAAAAGUUACUUACCGAUUGCUAAACAUGCUUAAGGAUCCCGAUAUAAGAACUCGAGCAUUAUUUCUUGCCUGCAAUUGGAAACAAUUGUCAUUGACCUUUUUAUGGGCGUGUUGUUGAUCUUAUUUUAAACAUCAUUUAAUUGUUCAGCAACAAAAGGAAGGACGGCGAUGGGCCAGGGGUAGCAUUAUGAGGCAACGAUUGUCAGCAAAGUAUGCAGUCUUUACAUAUGAAAAUUGCCACGAUACGUCAUCACCAUAGUGACCAGAUCAAAUAAUUUCAUCUAAAUGUGAUCUAGCUACUGCAAAAGGUAUAACAUCUAUUGCCUAUACCUUUCCAACAACAAUAACAUACCCAAUGUAAGCACAUAGGUGGGAUCUGGGGAGUGUAGAACGUAGACCUUACCCCUACCUCGUGGAGGUAGAGAGGCGUUUCUGCUUACACCUUUCCAUCUUCCCUUUUUCUUUAUUCUUUAAAAAAAGUAAAUUAUGAUUCUUUUUCUGCUUAACUUCUAUGCAAGCAUCCCUGCAUGGCUUCAUUAUCUUAAAAAGCUAAACAGCACCGGUUGAACAACUUUUGAGGUUCAAGGUCAAUAAUCUGAAUGAACGUAGAAAUUUAAGAAAAUGAUUAGGAAUAUUAAUAGGUCACAUAUUAGAUGAACCACCUGCACAACUGAAACAAGACUGAUUGCAGAUCCAGUUAAUGUUGGUGGAGUUGAUAAUUUGGAUUUAGGAUUAGCUGAAUACGCUGAAGGCGAAGCUGAGAGAACUUUCAGCACCUGCAAGCAUGAUGGAUGCACCCUUUGACAUUAAAUAACUAUACAGAAUGUACUUCACACACAUGUAUGUCCAGAAAGAACUUGCAGAAACUUACCAAGCUAUUAGCCGGAUUUACAGAGUGACCAAUCCCCUUGAAGAGUACAGGAGCCUGGAUUUACAUAACAGAAAUAUGUAUUAGAAACAUGCUGCUCCAUCACAGCAGGACUCAAGAGCUGUAUCAUCCGAUACACAAUCAUAUGUCAGUGUAAAAAAUGAAAAAGGUAACUGGGGAAGUUUGUACAUACAAAGUUUAUGACCCAAUGCCAAUAUCAAAAUAACACCAUAAAUGCCUCAAAAAUGCACAUUGUAAAACUCAAAAGGUCUAUGUUAGGAGAUUAUUGAACAGACCAUGUUCAAGUAAGACCACCUCAAAAAUUGCACAUUGUUUUAUGAGGGCUUUGGCCAAAUAGGUUCCUUAUUGCAUCAAUUCGAGCUUGCUUGAUCUAUUCCAUCACGACCUUAUCCUAUUACUGCAUACUCUUUUUUCUGACAUCAUGAUUUGCCUUCAUUGUCAUGAUUCAUGAACUAAUUUUAAUUGAAAAUUUGAGGUUAAAUAUAUACCUGAUAAAUAUAGUGCAUUUGAUUCCAUGUCAAGCUUAAUAAUCAAUACAAGAAAAUAAAAAAAUUUGAAGAUAAAUUCACAAGCCUUUGUUUAUUGGCUUUAAAUAUGGCAAGAGUAGAUAAAGUUCCAUUGGUCUAAUUUGGUACCUCAAGUUAGAUUCUGACUCCUAUUUGAUACACAUAUGAUAAGAUACAGGAGAUCCUGACAGCUGAGAAUCUGCCUCAUUAGCACUUAUGUUGGUACUGUUGAAAGAGAGAAAUAUGAGAGCUUUGAAUUUGAAGGGUAUAGAAUGGCCACAUACAUUUGGGAUAGCCUCUCAAAUUUAGUUUCUCUCAGGUUCACCCUUGAGGUUCUAGUUUAUAUAUAUAGAAGAUUUGGUGUCAUUCACAGUGAAUUAUACUAUGUUAUAGAUUCUCUACUCUUUGGUGAACUGUUGGUUUAUGUGAGAUUUUCCUAUUAUUAUUUAUAAGAGAUAAUGGAAAAAUCUCCGGCAUUAAUCAAUUUCUUCACCUUAGAAUGAGAGUUUCCUAUUAUUAAUCAAUUUAUUUACCUUCUAAAAAAGGAUACUUAUUCUGUAGAGGAUCUAUAAGUAUUAUUGCGAAAAAUGAUGCAGUAGCUCUCAGACACAAUAACCGAGGAAUGGUCUAAAUCAGCAGGACCCCCCUCUCCUACGUCCUCCGGUGAUCCUUCUGAUCACCGGAUUUCAUUUCUCUUUUCUUUUUUUCUUUUCUUUCCCACUGUCCUUGCAGGCGAGUUUCAAAUGGAAGAUAGUAUUUACUUUGCAGCUGGAUUCAAGUCCUACGACAUCACAAGAACACCUGGUACGGCGGGAGCAUGGUACGACUGGACGGAAAGAAAUAGAAAAUCUAUGACGAGAACGACUUUUAAUGAGAAGUCAAUGGAAUGGAUCGUGCAGAUUUUACGGGAGGCAUCAAUGACAAGGGGGAAUAUGGUGAAGAGAUGGAAGAAAAAAGAUGGGUUCUCAGAAGUUUUUUGUUCGAGGAACUACAAUAAAUAUGGGCGCUACAUCAGUUUAAUAAAUGUAAAAGGCAGGAGGAGGGAAGUUAUCAUCAUCCCUGAAUUAAAUUUUAACUCAGGGUGGUUGAGCUUUGCGGAAAAGGUUGGAAGAUUCAUUAAUAGUCGUAGAAAGUUAAUGAAUGGGGGCAAUCACAGGCUGGUGAGCAGAGACAUUCCAUAUGCUACAGUGCUAAGAAGCAUUAAAUGGGCUAAUAAAGAUUCAAAACUUGCUGAAAAAGAGAAGGCAGCUCUAAAAGGGGAUACAAUCUUUAUCAACGAUGAUCCAGAGGAGUACAGUGAAGUGCUAAAGAGAAGUUUGGUGGGUGCAUUUGAACCUAGAGCCGGAGAGACAGUGACCCUGUCAGAAAUCAGGGGAUGGGCUAAUCGACUGUGGAAACAAACACACAGCUUGAACAUCUAACCGGAUUUCAUUUCUCUUUUCUUUUUUUCUUUUCUUUCCCACUGUCCUUGCAGGCGAGUUUCAAAUGGAAGAUAGUAUUUACUUUGCAGCUGGAUUCAAGUCCUACGACAUCACAAGAACACCUGGUACGGCGGGAGCAUGGUACGACUGGACGGAAAGAAAUAGAAAAUCUAUGACGAGAACGACUUUUAAUGAGAAGUCAAUGGAAUGGAUCGUGCAGAUUUUACGGGAGGCAUCAAUGACAAGGGGGAAUAUGGUGAAGAGAUGGAAGAAAAAAGAUGGGUUCUCAGAAGUUUUUUGUUCGAGGAACUACAAUAAAUAUGGGCGCUACAUCAGUUUAAUAAAUGUAAAAGGCAGGAGGAGGGAAGUUAUCAUCAUCCCUGAAUUAAAUUUUAACUCAGGUUGGUUGAGCUUUGCGGAAAAGGUUGGAAGAUUCAUUAAUAGUUGUAGAAAGUUAAUGAAUGGGGGCAAUCACAGGCUGGUGAGCAGAGACAUUCCAUAUGCUACAGUGCUAAGGGAGCAUUAAAUGGGCUAAUAAAGAUUCAAAACUUGCUGAAAAAGAGAAGGCAGCUCUAAAAGGGGAUACAAUCUUUAUCAACGAUGAUCCAGAGGAGUACAGUGAAGUGCUAAAGAGAAGUUUGGUGGGUGCAUUUGAAGUUUUGAACCUAGAGCCGGAGAGACAGUGACCCUGUCAGAAAUCAGGGGAUGGGCUAAUCGACUGUGGAAACAAACACACAGCUUGAACAUCUAUGAAAUGGGGAAUGGACUCUUUCUAUUUGAGUUUGCACUUAGGGUCACAGCAGAGCAAGUGAUCGAAGGGGAUUGGGAGUGGAGGAAUAGUCCAGUUAUCCUUCAAUGGUGGAAUCCAACAAUAGGUACGAGAUGCGGAAGGAGUAAAGAAAAUUCAACUUGGGUAAAAAUUGUAGGGUUGCCUUUGCAUUUUUGGGAUCAGAAAAUUUUCAAGGUCAUCGGAGAUUUCUGCGGGGGGUGGGUAGAGACGGAAGAGGAAACCCAAUUGAGGAAUCAUCUCAAAUGGGCAAGAAUCAGAAUCAAAGGAGAUGGAGCAGACAUACCCAAAGAAGUGACCAUCGACGGGGGCGGAAUAUGCUACACGAUGCAAAUUUGGGCAGAAUCGCCGGUAAGAGUAUUUGCCGGAGAAGACCUGAACUCCGAGAUCAGUACCCAGCGGUCACGAGGUGGAAAACCAUUGGGUAAAGGUGAGGCUCCUCUGCAAAGUCAAAAAGUAACUGCUACAGCAGGCAGAGCACAUGUUGUGUCAGAGGCAGGUGGGCAGUCCUCCAAGUCAAACAAAAUAGUGGGCCGGGGCGAGCCCAACUCAAAACAAAGCCCAAUUCUAAGAUUGGGGCCAGAACAAAAUAAAGAGGGGGGCCUGGUCAAUAAAAAGUUUGACCUGGCAAGUGAAAAGUGAAAAUCAGGGGGAAUUUCUAGAAGGGUUAAGUGGCAUCAAGGAAUUAGCGAUGCAGUUCUUACAGGCUUACAACAAAUGGGAAACCUCGAGUAUGGUGGAAAACACCGACAUCUCAGCUAAAAACAGAGAGCCGGUAAACAAGACGAAAGAGGCUGUUGAACUACUAUGCAACAAAGCAAAGGGUAUUGAUCAUUCUAAGGAUUUUGGGGAGAUUUCAGGGGUACAAGAACUAGUGGAAGGAGGCAUGCAAAUUCAACAGAUUCACGAUGCGGAGCCGGUUUCCAUACAAAACCCUGGGUACCAUACAGACAGCGAGUUUGAAGCAUCCAGUUGGAUAAAGUCACAUAUUUUGGAGCUCAGUAAAACUUAUGGAGUGGCAUUCGAAGGUUUCAGGGAAGAAACACAUGCAUUACUAAUGAAGCUCGAUGAAAGAAAGAGUGUGAUGGAAAAGAAAGGGGCAAACAGUGCAGUGUCAACACCUCGUCACAGAGGAAUUGGCAAGAAUGAGUUGAAGAACUUACAGUCAGAUCUGAACGAGGAGGUCGAAGGUGCAAGGAACAGAGGGAGAGUCCUAUCACUAACUCUUAAAUGAAAGUAAAUAUUUUAUCAUGGAACGUCAGGGGGAUUAACAAGAUUUCAGCAAGGAAUCUGGUUAAGAGCUCUCUUCUAAAAUGGAGAGCUGAUGUUUAUUGCCUUCAGGAGACAAAAAUCAAUAAAGAUGUAGAGGGGAUAGCCAAACAAUUGUGGUCUAGUAGAUGGAUGAAAUGUGGGUAUUCUGAAGCUGAUGGUAGUAGUGGGGGGAUACUAAUUAUGUGGGACUCAAGAGUAUGGACGGGUAGUUGUGUGGAGGAAGGCAAAUACUCAAUCACUUACAAAUUUGAAGCUGUCCACGAUGGUUUUUGUUGGUUUCUUACUGGCGUAUAUGCUCCACACACCAGAGCUGAGAAACUGGAGUGCUGGGAAGAAAUUGCAGCAGUUAGGGAGCUAUGUGGAGGCCCCUGGGUCACCUGUGGGGACUUCAACACUGUCAGAACAAUGGCAGAAAGGAGAGGAUGCAGAAGAAUAACCAAUGUAAUGGCUGAUUUCUCGAGUUGGAUAGAGGAUAUGGAGUUACAUGACCCUCAUCUAAAUGGUGGGACCUUUACCUGGUACAGAGGGGCUGGCCACGACAGUGCUGCGAGACUGGACAGGUUUCUCUAUUCAAUUGAGUGGGAAGUACAAUUCAGAAACAUAAGGCAACAAAUUAUGCCUAGAGUUAUAUCUGAUCACAAUCCAGUUAUGCUACAAUGUGGUGAUUGGGAACAGAGGAAGACAUACUUCAAAUUUGAGAACUGGUGGUUUAAUGUAGAAGGUUUCAAAGAUCUAGUCCAGAACUGGUGGAAUGGUUUUAUUGUGGACGGAUGCCCAGAUUUCAAAUUCAGUAUGAAGCUAAAGAUGCUAAAACAGAAACUUAAAGAUUGGAGCAGUGUAACUUUCGGGGAACUUAACAAUAAGAAGAACAGCUUGUUAAGUGAGCUAGCUGAGAUGGAUCUGAUCCAGAAUGAUAGGGUGCUGACAGAGGAUGAGAUGAUGAUUAGAGCAACAGUUCUAGUCGAGUUAGAAGAAUUAGCGAAGAAUGAAGAAUCCAGGUGGAGACAGAAGUCCAGAGUGUUGUGGUUGAAACAAGGUGAUAAUAAUACCAAGUUCUUUCAAAGAGUAGCAACAGCUCAUAGGAGAUGCAACACCAUCGACAGGCUGAUUAUCAAUGGGGAGGAGAAUAAAGAUCCAAAAGAAAUCAAAGAUCAUAUAACAGAGUUCUACAAGCAGCUAUACACUGAAUCAGAAAGUUGGAGGCCAUCAUUUGUGAUGACAAAUUGCCCAAGAAUAAGCCAAGAGGAGCAGGAAUGGAUGCAGAGACCAUUUUCAGAAGAGGAAGUGGUACACAUUCUCAAAUUGUGCGAUGGAGACAAAGCCCCUGGUCCAGAUGGUUUUACUAUGCUUUUUUUCAAGGAGUGUUGGGGGAUCAUAAAGAGCGAUGCGAUGCAAACAAUCCACAAUUUCCAUCAGAAUGAAGUGUUUGAAAGAUCCUUGAAUGCCACUUUUGUGGUAUUAAUCCCCAAGAAGCUCGGAGCUGCGGAACUCAAGGAUUUUAGGCCAAUAAGUUUGAUUGGUGGAAUGUACAAAAUCAUCGCUAAGCUGAUCACCGAGAGAAUGAAAACAGUGAUGGGGAGACUGAUUGAUGAGCACCAAAUGGCUUUUUUGAAGGACAGACAGAUAAUGGAUGCCUCUUUAUUGGCAAAUGAGUUGGUGGACUCCAGGGAAAAAACAAAAGAUACCAGGUAUCCUAUGCAAAUUGGAUAUAGAGAAGGCAUAUGAUCAUGUCAACUGGAACUACCUCUGGAAAGUUCUGAGUGAAAUGGGGUUUGGGAGGAAAUGGGUGAAUUGGAUCAAGUUUUGCGUAUCAACAGUGAAGUUCUCAAUCAUUAUAAAUGGGAGUCCUGAAGGUUUUUUUCAAUCACAAAGGGGAUUGAGACAAGGAGAUCCCAUGUCUCCUUUCUUAUUUCUCCUAGCAAUGGAGGGACUCAACUACAUGGUCAGAAAGGCUAAUGAAAUGGGGUGGAUAAGAGGUUUUGGUGCACACACAAACAGAGCCAAUAAUAUGGAGGUCACACACCUUCUCUAUGCGGACGACUCUUUAGUGUUUUGUGGUGCAGAAGUGUCGCAAAUUAGACAUUUGAGGGCAAUACUAACCAUUUUUGAAGGCAUAUCAGGACUACAUGUGAACUGGCAGAAGAGUUGUUUGUUCCCAGUUAAUCAAGUAAAUGACAUGCAAGGCCUUGCCGACAACCUGGGCUGCCAAGUAGCUUCUCUUCCCACCAAAUACCUGGGGAUGCCCUUGGGCGCCAAGAACAAAAAAUUGGAAGUAUGGAGUGAAGUUCUGGAGAGAAGUGAAAGGAAGCUGACAAGGUGGAAGAGUCAAUAUAUAUCCCUGGGAGGUAGAUUGACUCUCAUAAAAUCAGUUCUGGAUGCACUUCCGACUUAUAUGCUAAGUCUUUUCCCACUACCAAAAAGUAUUGGAAAGAAACUCAACAAGCUGAGAAGGGUCUUCCUCUGGCAAGGAAAUAAAGAGAAGCAAGGAUACAACCUGGUUAAAUGGGAAGAGGUGACAAUGAGCAAAGCACAAGGAGGUCUGGGCAUUAAGAAAUUGAGUACUCAGAACACCAGCCUGCUGCAAAAAUGGUUGUGGAGAUUCUGUUGUGAAGAUAUGGCAUUAUGGAGGAGGUUUAUUGCAGAGAAAUAUGACCUACAAAGCAACUGGAUAACUGAAGAGGUGAAUGGCACUUUUGGGUGCUCUGUAUGGAAAACCAUCAGGAGAAUGUGGCCUGAUUUCAGUGCAAAGGUGACCUUCAGAGUGGGGAAUGGUUUGAAGACCAGUUUCUGGAACGAGACCUGGUUAGGUGACGUAAAUCUGAGGAUACUUUUUCCCGAUCUGUACAUUAUCAGUCUACAGCAGAAUGACACUAUAGCGCAAAUGUGGACCCCUCAAGGUUGGGACCUUAUGUUCAGAAGGGCUCUAAAUGAUUGGGAGGUUGGAAGAGUAGCAGACCUACUGCAUGCUUUAAACUUGUUUCCAGGCACUGUCACAGAGCCGGACAAACCAGUCUGGAAACUGCAUAGCAGAGGGGUUUUUACAGUUAAAUCAUGCUAUUGGGAGAGGAAUACCAAUCAUCUCCUGACAACAGUUUGGCCUUGGAAAUUAAUCUGGAAAAUUAAGGUUCCUUUAAAAGUUGCAUGUUUCACUUGGUUGGUAAUUUAGAAGAGCUUGUCUCACCCAUGAAGUGCUACAAAGAGAGGUAUACAGAUCUGUUCAAAGUGCUACAUGUGCGGACAGAAGGCUGAAGUAAAUGGUCAUGUGUUUUUAGCAUUGCAAGAUAGCUACAGAUCUGUGGAACAUGUUCGUUUGUAUACUCAGGGUUAACUGGACAAUGCCCAGAACCACUUUUGAGGUCCAAACACACUGGCAAGGAAUCGGAAAGAGAGGAUCAAAAGAAGAUUGGUGGAAAAAUAUCCCUGCUUGCAUAUGGUGGACACUAUGGAAGGAAAGGAAUGGGAGAUGUUUUGAAGGAAGGGUUAGCAGCCUAGAGGAGAUCAAGAUGAAAUGCCUUAGUCUUUUGUAUUUUUGGUGUAAGCAAAAUUUAGUGGGGGAAGUAGAUAGCCUUGUGGAGUUUAAAAGCCAAUUGUAAAGUUAGUUUUGUCUUUUUGGAUUUGAGUAUGAUGGCACCCCCUGGGGGUUUGUAAAUCCCACCUCAUCGAUUUUGAUGAGGUCUUUUGUGUGAAUACAAAGUUACCUAUUUCAAAAAAAAAAGGAUACUUGACGAUCCUUGUAUUAUUUACAAAAGCAGCUACCUCAAAAAGAGAGCACAAUAGAGCUUACAAUGAGCAUGAAGAAAUUACUGUAUACUUAUUGAUCGUUUCAGUUGCUACACCAUAUCGGUUACUCAAGAUCAUUGGUCUUUAUCCGGACUUUAUAAAGAGAAGGUGGACACUCUGAGGGAGUUUAACUUCAGUUUCCUCCCUUCCCCAUCCCUAUCCCAUAGACAGAUCAAUAAAGAACCUUCUUGGCUUCUUCUAUGUGUACUAAUAAUGAUCUGGUUCCAGAUCCUUCCUCAGAACUUCCCUGAAGAAUUUUGAACUUGUAUCUCUAAUUGAAGGUCUAGUAUAAGUUUAUUCAUGUGGCUAAGCACUCUACCGCUUGAAUAAUAAUCUGUUCCUUUAUUAUCAGCAAAAUAGAGCACCCUUGUUCAAGAAUAAUAGACUGAACGAGAGUGGUAUACAGCUAAAGAAUACUCAAAUUGUGGUACUUUCUGCAAUUUGAGUCACUAUUUUAAUGACUUCCCUAUGUGGAUUAGCAUAUAUACAAGCUACAACAAACAAUUGCAAGGAUACAAUCCAACGAACAUGGCAAAUACACAAAUGAACAAAAAGAACAAGAGAAACAAUUGCAAAAUGCUAAGUGCCACAUAAGAUGUGCUAGGGAAGUAAAAAGCCUAAACAAUAAAGGUUUCUAAAAUCUUUAAGAAAUUAGUGAGUGAAAUGACAGUGGUUGGUUAAAUGUAUCAGCUUUAUAGAGUUUUCACAGCUUAUUAGUGUAGAUACGAUUCCAAAAUGGGAGGUUGAAAGCAAAAAAUUAAUGGAUAGCUACCCAUGUUGGGAGGAAGAAACAACUCUUUUGCAAUGCAAACAAACAUUGCUACAUGUUGAGAGAGUUUAGGCCAUUCUCUUGUGGGACAGGACAAUCCAAUUGAUCUCUAAAAUUGCUACAUGUUAUGAAAUAUCAGUAUUUCUACAAAAGGCAUCAACAGAAUACAUUGAUAAAUAAGUUAAAAAAUCCUUUUUAUAGGCGAUAGCUCCAGAAAGACAAACUGCUAAUUAUUUCUUUCAAUCUUAAGGGAAAGAUGAUCACAACAAACUCGUUCAAACCUUUCCAGUUAAAUUAUAGAUAUAGCAUCUUCAUAAGAGAUCACACUGUUUGGAUGGUUCGACACGUUUGAUGUUAGUUCUUCCCCACUUGGGCAUGUGGUAUGUUCCUACAGUUGGCCAUCAGCCCUUAAGAGCGGUAUGCGAAUUGGGUUCUAGGGUCUAUUGUUGAUCUCUCGUAUUUACAGACCCCCGCCCAAAAAAAAAAUGGGAAUGGAGGGCCACACUUAUGUGCUAAUAUUUUAUGAUCACGUUGAUUCCAUGAUUAAAUAGAAGAGUAGACUCAAAAAUCAUGAUAAUUAUAGAUGAAAUAUAGUGCUUUACCUUGAUCUUUUCUUUGCCCAAGAUUACAUCAGAUUGAAUGAAAUCAUCACCAGCAAUUAAGGUAUGGUCCCCUUCUGUAUCUGAAACUGCAAAGCUUGUAUGAUCAAUGACCAUAGCUGACUGAUCCUAUUAUGUAGAACAUAAAGAGUAGAAAAACAUUAGUCAGCAUGUCAUGCUUAACUUUAGAGGAGUAUGAGUAUACUUAUCACAAAGAUGCAAUCACCCAUAAGAAUGAAAGUGAUUGAUAGGGGUUCAGAAAAUCAAAAAAAUUAUGUUCAUCAUUUGCUUUUAGAACAUCGAUCCAAAUUAGCAACAUCAUUAGUAGCCAAAGAAAAUCCCAUUGAAUUCACUUCACCACAGUAAAAAUGUUAAGCAAAGGGUUUCUGUAUGCAAUAUGAAUCAUUCACUUAAAACACAAGUCUUUUUAGUAUGAAAUGGGCAUAAUAGGUAAAGUUGUGUGAUUGAUUGAAUAAAAAUACAAGUAACAGAAACGUUUUCUGAUACCUCAUCAAAAUCAACCCCACACUCAGUAGCAAUCUCUCUAAUUAGAUCAGAUGCAGAUGCAUCAGCCGCAAGGAUCAAAUCAUGGCCAGAAUCAACAAAGUCCAGAAUAGCUGCCGCAUUAAGAGAUCCACCUAAACCUUAAAAAAAAAAAGGAACGACAUUAUUAAUCUACCUAAAACACCCAAAAAAUUAACCCAUUUCGAUCUAUCCCUUCGCAUCGGGUUCACUGGAAACCACUGCAUUCAGCUCGGAUCUAUACACAUAUGUAACAUAAAGAAAUCUGGCAUGGAGACUUACUAUCAAUGGUAGGUGAGAAGAGAAUUAAGGCGUCAUAUAAAUACUGUCCGUAUCUCUGUAACGCGAUCUUGGGAUCAUCGGCGAGUUUGAAAUCAAGAUCGAAACCACGGGUUUGUAGAGACUGGAAGUAGAGAGAAUGUGAAGAUUUGAUGGAUAAAUCAUCGAGCAAAACCAAGAUUUUCCGAUCUGUUGGGUUUUCAGGGGAAAAUGCAUUGCCAAGAACCGCAAGAAGAAGGAAACUGAGGAUUACUGGCGCUCGAGACAUGUUGAAAAUGCUCGCAAGCCACUAGGGUUUAGCGAGAUUUGAAGCUUAAAGAUCCCUUCACUCCACUUCAGAGUUGACGAGAGUUUUUCAGUCUUCGACCAAGUGAUAAGUAUAAGUUUACAGUUCAGGUAAAACGGAAGGUAAUUGCAUCCACAAUUAAUUAUGGUUAAUCACUCAACUUUCGCUUUAUUGCACCAAAGUCACAAAACUAUUUUUUGGUAAAGAAAAACUCACUCGAUUUUUUUAUAGACGCAGUUUUACCCCAAUUUUUUUUAAUGUAAAAGUUUCGUUUUAAAGUUUAGACCUCGGGCAUCGACUAAAAACAAUAUGUACAAUAUAGUAGCGAAAAAGUCAUGUCAGAUACAAUGAAGAACAGUAACAAUGAUAAAUAAUAAGAUAAUUAAAAUAGGAAAAGUGUAAUAAUAACAAUACUAAAAAAGGAACUAGACAACUCUCGGCCUACUAAUCUUCUAUCUUAAUUCUCUAUCUAUCGAUUUUUCUAUAUAGAAUUGUGCUAUUGGUAAGCUACAGGCGAGGCAUGUCUUAUCUAAUCAGCUCUUCCUAGGACUUUUUCGGCUUACCUCUAUCACUCGUUAAACCCACUAUAACCCGUGUCUCACACCUGUGAACAUCUGUGAAUUAUUUCUUCAUAUGAUCGAAUAAUCUAAGCCUCGUCCUCAUUUUGUUCUCACCAAACUAAGGACCUGAACUGAAUGGAAUUUCAUAGCAGCUUGAGGCUGUUCCUGAUGCUGGACUUCGUGGGUCGUUGGCUCCACCUGUUAUCUCCUUCUACGACGCCUGCCACCAGGCCAUACCCGCAAUUACACCAUACCGUCCACUUCGUUUCGUUCUUCUUCUGUACCGUCGCUUGAAUCCUGCUAGUUUGGUUGCACUUGGGCUUAACAGCUGCUUCAAAGCCAACGUGAUGCUCCUUGGUCAGCCAUAAACGGAAUCUUAAGAAGCAGUCAUUCGUUUAUGGGAGCGACUCUCUGAGGAUGAAACAAAAGAGACAUGACAUUAAUCAUAAUAUUGUUUCUCUCAUAUUUAGGCAAUUUUAUGUGACUUUUUAAUCAAAUAAAAUUUAUUUAUUAGUGACUUUUAAUGAUAUUUACGCAAAGUUAAGUGGCUUUUUUUGUAUAAAAUGUAGUUUAGUAGCUUUAGUUCAAUAAAAUAAAUUUGGGUUGAUCGCCAAUGAAAUUAGACUCAAUUAAUGAGUGUUACCAUCACGAAUAGAGGUAGAAGUCCAAAUAUAAAUUCAGCGUAUUUUAAUAUUAUUUGUUCAAACUAUGUAUUUGUGUUAAAAAAAAUCACUAAAUAUGAAGUUUAAUUAUUAGUAUUUGAAAUUGACGUUCAAAGCGAAAUCAAUGUGCUUAUCUAAAUGCUUUAUUUUCUCCGGAUCACAAAAGACUCCUCAAAACAAGAGAGGCCAAAACAUAUAGAAAAUGGAACACAAAUCAUAGUUUAUACUUCAUAGUACAUCAAAUUCCAUCAUCCCCUCCCCUAAUCCAUUGUAAAAUCUAAAAUCAAAUUAAUAAAUGAAAAAAAAAAACAUUACCUUCUAAGUUCUAAGGGCACACAAAUUUUGAUACAUUCAGUUUAGGAAAUGUUUUUAGGAAUGGACAAAAAUUACAUGUAGGGUAUUUCUAAACCAAAAAGGGUAAAAUUACAAUUCUACUAAAUGAAAGGUCUUGAGUUUACUAAUGUGUUAUACUUUUAAAGGGCAUCCACACCCUUGCCGUUCUCGCCCCUAACGGAACUCCAACCUGAAGUAUAACAGAAGGUAAUUUUAAAGUAUAGUGAAAAGUAGAGGGGUAAAUUGAAUCCUUAUCAUCCGGUUCACUUUGGAGCUCUGUUAAAGGCAAAGACAGAUACAAAGACGAUUUCUUAACGACAAAGGUAUGAAUGGCCCCAAAGUAUAACUUAAAAUUAAGAC